UUGAAAAUAUUAGCCUAAGAACCAAGUCUCCAACUGCAAAAGACUUAGUUCUAACUUUUUUAUUGUACGCAUUGCGUACUCGGCUCUGAUAAACUUGUAAAUAAUUUAACGCUAUCAGUCGAGUUUCAUUCAUUUUUUCUAUUCUUUCAUUCAUUAUAACAUUAUAUUCAUCAGUCGUCAGUUCUUUUUGUUUUUCUACUCUUAAGAAGGAAACUGUUAUUUCGGCAGGUACCACGGCC
RNAcentral lists this long non-coding RNA (239 nucleotides) under Ananas comosus (pineapple). RNAcentral describes it as "long non-coding RNA (ACOM_LNC030391)". The record is from RNAcentral. Lineage: Eukaryota; Viridiplantae; Streptophyta; Magnoliopsida; Poales; Bromeliaceae.